RNAcentral lists this unclassified non-coding RNA (200 nucleotides) under soil metagenome. RNAcentral's name for it is "partial contains internal transcribed spacer 2 and large subunit ribosomal RNA". The record is from RNAcentral.
GAUGUGGGGGUUUGUGCAGGCUGCCUCAGCGCUGGUCUGCUCCCCUGAAAUGCAUUAGCGAGUUCAUACUGAACCUCCGUCUAUUGGUGUGAUAAUUAUCUACGCCGUGGACUGGGUUUAGACUCGCUUCUAACCGUCCGCAAGGACAAUAACUUUGACAAUUUGACCUCAAAUCAGGUAGGACUACCCGCUGAACUUAG